GAUGAAGAACGCAGUGAAAUGCGAUAAGUAGUGUGAAUUGCAGAAUUCAGUGAAUCAUCGAAUCUUUGAACGCACAUUGCGCCCUUUGGUAUUCCAAAGGGCAUGCCUGUUCGAACGUCAUUUGUACCCUCAAGCUUUGCUUGGUGUUGGGCGUCUUGUCUCUAGCUUUGCUGGAGACUCGCCUUAAAGUAAUUGGCAGCCGGCCUACUGGUUUCGGAGCGCAGCACAAGUCGCACUCUCUAUCAGCAAAGGUCUAGCAUCCAUUAAGCCUUUUUUUCAACUUUUGACCUCGGAUCAGGUAGGGAUACCCGCUGAACUUAAGCAUAUCAAUAAGCGGAGGA
RNAcentral lists this unclassified non-coding RNA (341 nucleotides) under soil metagenome. Its description in RNAcentral is "partial contains 5.8S ribosomal RNA, internal transcribed spacer 2, and large subunit ribosomal RNA". The stretch from base 1 to 120 matches the Rfam family "5.8S ribosomal RNA", at positions 35 to 154 of the family's 154-position model. The record is from RNAcentral.